RNAcentral lists this ribosomal RNA (435 nucleotides) under Triticum aestivum (bread wheat). RNAcentral's name for it is "partial small subunit ribosomal RNA". Lineage: Eukaryota; Viridiplantae; Streptophyta; Magnoliopsida; Poales; Poaceae. The record is from RNAcentral.
AUGAAUUUUUGUUUGUCAAUGCUUGAUGAGACAACAAUAGAAACUUCAAGGCCUAAAUUCAAGACAGUGCAUAAUGUUGUGCACAUUGAUGAGAAAUGGUUCAAUAUGACGAAGAAAAAUAAGACCUACUAUCUGUUGGAUGGGGAGGAAGAGGCUACGAGGCAUAUACACGACAACUGUAUUGGCAAGGUGAUGUUCUUGACGGCCGUUGCUAGGCCAAGGUGGGACAGUGAAGGAAACGUGACCUUCUCUGGGAAAAUCGGUAUCUGGCCAUUCGUGAAAGAAGUUCCUGCUCAGAGGAGAAGUGAAAACAGGCCCAGAGGUACAAUAGAGACGAAGUCAAUAAAGGUCGAUAGAAAAGUGAUGAGGGAGUUCCUGAUAGAGAAAGUCUUGCCGGCGAUACAGGCCGUUUGGCCCGAAAGUAAUGCUGGAUAG